GCCUGGAUGGCUUAGCUGGUGAAGCAUCUGACUUCAGCUCAGGUCAUGAUCUCACGGUUCGUGGGUUCAAGCCCCGUGUCGGGCU
This 85-nucleotide transfer RNA is filed under the name Felis catus (domestic cat). It matches the Rfam family "tRNA". Rfam says of the family: Transfer RNA (tRNA) molecules are approximately 80 nucleotides in length. Lineage: Eukaryota; Metazoa; Chordata; Mammalia; Carnivora; Felidae. The record is from Rfam by way of RNAcentral.